Molecule: long non-coding RNA, 1012 nt
Organism: Chelonia mydas (Green sea turtle)
Lineage: Eukaryota; Metazoa; Chordata; Testudines; Cheloniidae
Exons: 3
Source: RefSeq, a predicted model, not a curated record
CACAGAGAAACCGAACCCCUGCCUGAGGCAGCCACCACCCCGUAACCAUACAGAAGUCACUGGUGUACAAAGACUGCUGUCUGUUCUCGCUGGGACAUCCCCUUACGGCUACGUGUCGGAAUAAUGACCUCCGGUGCCAUGAACUCGGUGCAUGUGGCCCAGUGAUGGGGUCACCAAGGUCAAGAGGCUCACGUGACUUGCCCAAGAACAGAGAUGAGAUUAGAGCUCUGGCAUUUCCCAGCCACACCUCUUUCUUUCUUCUGUUCCAGGGGACAGAAAACCGUGCUGCAGGUAGACCAACUGAAUAUCCUCUCUGGCACUUUGAAGCAACUAUUGCAGAUGACUCAUCCCAAUUCCCACACAAAGACCUCCCGGGACAGCACGCUUUGGGAGGAGUCAGUUCACUGAGUUCAACGUGUUCAAUCCAAGCUGCUGGUUCUUUACCUUAAAAAUGAGUCUUCGUGCACUAAUACCAGACCCCUCCCCAAGGAUAUACAACAGUGGGCUGCUGGUGACCCUGGGGAAAGCUGUCAAAGCUACAGAACUGCACUGGCAGAAAGUUUGGUGGAUGUCUCCUGUCAGGCCUGAUGUUCUGCCAUUCCCACUGUCUUUCAGUGAAGAGCUAGAGGCCUGCACAGUGUGUGGUGUAAUGUACCAGCCAAUGGGUGUAUUUGCCAUGUGUUUUACCAGCAUAGCACAACCGUUUGUGAUUGUGUGGCCCUCUAGCCAAAGACAAAAUGAUAAAAGCCUUAGCACUUGCAGCAGCUAGCAGUGAAUCUACUUUAGCUCAUAUGUUUUGGGUUGCUAAUCCUAACUAAUUCCUCCCAUGGAGGGUAGGACUCUGCCGCCUGUGUCCAUUUGUAGCCACAGAUUUGUUGCGUUGUCUCUCUGUGCAGCUGUAACUUUGGCACUAAACUGCACAGAAAACAGGGCUUACAAACACCCAACUUUCCAUCACUGCUCAGAGAGAGGAAGAGAGGUUGGGAUGUUAUUUUUUUGGGUGAUAUAAAGU